This 29-nucleotide non-coding RNA is filed under the name Rattus norvegicus (Norway rat). The record is from RNAcentral. Lineage: Eukaryota; Metazoa; Chordata; Mammalia; Rodentia; Muridae.
UCUGACCACAGCUUACUGAAUUUCAUGGU